Molecule: unclassified non-coding RNA, 400 nt
Filed under: soil metagenome
Description: partial contains 5.8S ribosomal RNA, internal transcribed spacer 2, and large subunit ribosomal RNA
Rfam family: 5.8S ribosomal RNA (bases 1-122)
Source: RNAcentral
GAUGAAGAACGCAGCGAAAUGCGAUACUUGGUGUGAAUUGCAGAAUCCCGUGAACCAUCGAGUCUUUGAACGCAAGUUGCGCCUCAAGCCAUUAGGUUUAGGGCACGUCUGCCUGGGCGUCACAUAUCGUUGCCUGAUGCCAGUUUCCUCGUGAUGGGUGACUGUGCAGGGCGAAUGAUGGCUUCCCGUGAGCAUUGUUGCCUCAUGGUUGGUUGAAAAUUGAGUCCUUGGUAGGGAGCGCCGUGAUAGAUGGUGGUUGAGUGACGAACGAGACCCAAUCAUGUGAGACCCCUACCGAAUUUGGCCUUCAUGACCCACAUGCGUCUUUGGAACGCUCAUGACGAGACCUCAGGUCAGGCGGGGCUACCCGCUGAGUUUAAGCAUAUCAAUAAGCGGAGGA